UCUCCGUUGGUGAACCAGCGGAGGGAUCAUUACCGAGUGCAAACUCAUAACCCUUUGUGAACCUAUCUCUGUUGCUUCUGCGGCUCGCUUCCGGGCGAGCCCGCCGGUAAUAUCAGUAUCUCUGUUUGAACCCGACGAUACUUCUGAGUGAUCUUAGCGAACAGUUAAAACUUUUAACAACGGAUCUCUUGGCUCUG
This 197-nucleotide unclassified non-coding RNA is filed under the name plant metagenome. RNAcentral describes it as "partial contains small subunit ribosomal RNA, internal transcribed spacer 1, and 5.8S ribosomal RNA". The record is from RNAcentral.